This 1749-nucleotide long non-coding RNA is filed under the name Helianthus annuus (common sunflower). RNAcentral's name for it is "hypothetical non coding rna". Lineage: Eukaryota; Viridiplantae; Streptophyta; Magnoliopsida; Asterales; Asteraceae. The record is from RNAcentral.
UCUUGAACCUAGAUGUAUUCCUAAACAAGAUCCCAUACUCACCUCCCCUCUUCUUCUUAAACCCAUCACACAACACCCUCCUGCUCGAUUGAACGGCUGGCGACCACCACCGUCUGGUGGCGGCGGCACACGACAGCGACAGGACGAAGAGAGAGAGAUGAGAGAGAGAGAUCGGAGCUCGAGCUAGGAGAGAAGGACGCACCGACCGGCGGCGAUAGCCGCGUUCAGCAGCGGCGGAGUUCAACGGCGGCAUCUCGACUUCGGUAUUCCUUCCCUUUUAUCUUUUCGGAUUUUGUACAACAAUUUCGUCAUAAUAAGUAACAUAUAUAAACUUAACAGUGAGUGUUCGUUUUGAAUUCGCUAAUGAAGAAGAUGAUAAAGUUUGGUUCCGGUGCACGCCAUUCUCGUUGCGGAGCAAGAGGAAUCACUGGAAAUGUUUAAAGUUUACGUCGGUCUCGAGUCGUUACAUGAUCGGUAUACUUUCUUGUCCUUUUCAUUUUCGUUUAAUUCCCCGUUGAAUUCUUAUAUUUAUAAUCAUCCAACCAAACCGGAACAAAGAUAUAUAUGAUUAUAUGUAUACAUACUCGUAUAUGUACCCGGUUCUGUUGUUUUGUUAUUAUGAACCGGACGACAUGUUUGGAUGUUUUUUUAAAACCAAAUUGUUUGUUGUUGUUUUCAAUAUUUUAUGAAAGGGAUGAACUUGGUUGAACUUCUAUCUAAUAAUUUUCCAAGUUUAAAUGUUGAAGGUCUGCGUUUUUCUUUUUUUUUACAUUGAAGAAGACAUGACAUCAGCAAGCUAUGAUUCAAAUAAAAUGUCAACACAAACUAUUAAACAAAGAAACCACAUAUCAGUGGUUGAGUAAUUUGUUAAUGAAAUUAUUUUUAAUUCUUUUAUAACAUAAAAUAGUGAUAAGAUUAGCUUAUAAAUUGUAAAUAAUUAAAGAUGAAAUUAAUUUGGGAAACAAUUCAAAGUUUGGAAUUCUAUAUUAACUUAUAAAUAAUAAUUAGGACGUUCGCGUAUUUCAUAUCUAGGAUAACCUCUCUCGUCCGUUCUCUUGGAUUUCCCAACCCUUACUCGUGCGCUAUUUCAAGGAAAUCGCAUACGCAACCAAUGUGAGUAUACUCGAUCCCUUUUUCCCCUUUACGUUUUGGGAUGCAACAUGUAUACCUAUUCAAAACAACUCUUAUGCUUAAACAAAACAUACUCUAUCUAUGAACGUGACGUGAAACUAUUGUGAAUAUUUGCUAUGCUUGUAUGCUCUAUGAACGAUUUGGAACGUUAUAUGCUCAUUAACUUUGCUAGCCCACCUUAACAAUUAUAGCGCUAUAGGAUUGACGCCCCGCCCGUUAUUCUUGUGGGUAUUGUUAAGUUAAACUUAACCACCCCGCUAAACUUUUGGGAUUAGGCUUGUUAUGCGUUGUAUUCUUGGGUUUGAUCAUACUGUACGCCAAAAAUUGCAUUGCUAGUAAAUUAUUCAUUAUGUAACAUGUUGGAUAUGAGUUUUUAUUCUAAUAUGCUAUGUAGUCAAACUUGUAUACUCGCCUUUGCUUUUGCAUUGAACUCUAUUUUAAUACAUGUUGCAGGUUAAUUGUUGAGGUGAUACUUCAAGAUGAAACGAGAUUUAGGGUGGACUAGAUACACACCUAGAUUAAUUUAUCUUAUAUUGUUAUGUUUUGUUACGAAACAAUGUUGUAUUUUUUUUUAUUUGAAUCUUGUAUGACGUUUAGUAUUGAAAUGGAAUUUGAAUU